Molecule: ribosomal RNA, 142 nt
Filed under: uncultured eukaryote
Lineage: Eukaryota
Description: partial 18S ribosomal RNA
Rfam family: Eukaryotic small subunit ribosomal RNA
Source: RNAcentral
UGGUGGAGUGAUUUGUCUGGUUAAUUCCGUUAACGAACGAGACCUCGACCUGCUAAAUAGUUCGACGAAUCCUUCUGGAUUCGGUUGCGACUUCUUAGAGGGACUAUCGGUGUGUAGCCGAUGGAAGUUCGAGGCAAUAACA